UACGGAGGGUGCAAGCGUUGUCCGGAUUUAUUGGGUUUAAAGGGUGCGUAGGCGGCUAAUUAAGUCAGCGGUGAAAUUCCACAGCUUAACUGUGGAACUGCCAUUGAUACUGGUUGGCUUGAGUACAGAUGAGGUAGGCGGAAUUGACAGUGUAGCGGUGAAAUGCUUAGAUAUUGUCAAGAACACCUAUUGCGAAGGCAGCUUACUAAGCUGUAACUGACGCUGAGGCACGAAAGCGUGGGGAUCAAACAGG
This 253-nucleotide ribosomal RNA is filed under the name uncultured bacterium. RNAcentral describes it as "partial 16S ribosomal RNA". It matches the Rfam family "Bacterial small subunit ribosomal RNA", at positions 524 to 776 of the family's 1533-position model. RNAcentral also lists the same sequence under 1 other name. The record is from RNAcentral.